This 97-nucleotide signal recognition particle RNA is filed under the name Rubrivivax sp. RNAcentral describes it as "signal recognition particle sRNA small type". It matches the Rfam family "Bacterial small signal recognition particle RNA". Rfam says of the family: The signal recognition particle (SRP) is a universally conserved ribonucleoprotein involved in the co-translational targeting of proteins to membranes. Archaeal SRP consists of a 7S RNA and homologues of the eukaryotic SRP19 and SRP54 proteins. Lineage: Bacteria; Pseudomonadati; Pseudomonadota; Betaproteobacteria; Burkholderiales; Sphaerotilaceae. RNAcentral also lists the same sequence under 1 other name. The record is from RNAcentral.
GACGGGCCUCCCCGCAUGGAAGCGCGCCCAACCGGGUCAGAUGGGGAACCAAGCAGCCCUAAGCGUUGCAACCAGUGCCGGGGUCAGGCUCGUCACC